UAAUCGUAAAUUCAAAUUUGUUUAUUUGAUUUAUUUAACUGUUCUUUUUGAAAACAAAAAAAAAAAUAAAUAAAACAGAGCAAAACGGAGCAAAACAAAAUAUAACAAAACAUAACAUAUGUAUCUAAAAUGUAUGCAUGCAUUACUUAAGUACAUAUGUACGAUUUUUUUUUAUUUAUUUUAUUUUUUUUAAAAGUAUAAAAAAAUGUCAGUUUUUUAAGGUUUUAUGUAUAAAUAGUUAAUGGUUGUAUUCACUGAUUUUACAGAAUAUUCUGUUAUUAUAUAUAUUUUUUUUUUUUUUUUUUUUUUUUUUUCAUUUGUUUAACUAAUUUGUUUGGCUUAUUUUGUUGGCUAAUAUUGUUGGCUAAUCUUGUUGGCUAAUCUUGUUGGCUAAUCUUGUUGGCUAAUCUUGUUGACUAACAUUGUUGAUUAAUAUUAUUGACUGACUAACCUUGUUAACUAAUAUUGUUGGAUAGUAAGGUUGUCUAUUCCUGUUGGUUAGUCCGAUUGACUAACCCGCUUGAUUAGACCGUUUUUUUUUUUUUUUAUUUUUAUUUUUUUUUUUCCCCCAUUUCUAAAGUGCCUUCAAAAUGAAUAGCUACAUUUGGGAAAAUACGUACUCGUUAGAGUUUUUAAGUGAAGAUUUUUACGACCUAAACAUUAGCACAAAAGAUAACGUAUACGAAACAGUAAAAAAUAAAAAGGAUGAUAAGGAAAUUGACAAUUUGAGCAUAAACAUCAGUAAUCACAUUGGUAUGUUUAUUCAAUUAUUAGAUUAUUUGUUAGGUAAAAUAAGUUAUAAGAAUAAUAAAAUAAAUGAUACUCUAAAUUAUAGGAAUAUGUCUGAUGUACUUAAUUUUAUUAAAACACAAUUAUAUAAUUGUGACUAUAGUUUAUUUUUAAGAUUAUAUUCAAUUUAUUAUACGUAUAAUCAUAGAAGAAAUGGUUAUUUAGAUGUUAAUAAUUUAUAUACAUUAAUUUUGGAUAUUAUUAAUAAAGUAGAAAACUUAAAUGAAAAUAAUUUUUUAAUACUACCAGGUGGUUUUUAUUUAUUUAAAGAAAAAAUGUUAAUUAAAAUAUUAUAUAUUAUACAUAAGAAAAAUAAUUUAUAUAGUUUUGCUGUUUUAAAUAAUUCUAUAUAUGGUACCCAAUAUCAUGCGUUUAAAGUAGAUGAAAUAGAAAAUGUGGGAAUCAUAUUAAGAGAUGUCAUAGUUUGUAUAAAAAAUAUACAUAAAAAUCAUUUAACAAACUCAUUUUUUUGGUUAUGCUUAUAUCGUUUAUAUAUUUUUCCGAAUGCAGAUAAUGUUGACAUAUUAUACCAAAUAUUAUUACCAUAUUUAAAUAAUUCCUUUUUAACAAAUAACUGGAAUUUGUAUGAUAACAAAACUAUAAAUAGUAGUAACCUUAAAGAUGUGACAUCUAAAAAGGAUGAAUUUGACACUAGUGUUGAUAUUAAUAAAUCGGGAAAUGUUAAUUUUCGUAUUUAUGAUGAGACCGGAGUAGGGUCUGGAUAUAAGUAUGACAAUAAUCGCACCAGUGUUAAAUUAAUGCAAAACAAUAACGGAAAGAAAGACAUGUUCGAUUUUGGUGAUUUUAGCAAUGAUAAUAAAAACGAAUGGAAUAUGAAUACGUACCAUAUUAAUGAUAGUAGUUAUACUACGUUUAAUGGUGUCAAUAAUUGGGAUAAUAAUAGUAAAUAUGACAACGACCACUAUUCAAAUGAUAAUCAGUUGCUAAAUUGCAAAAAUAAAACAAAAACACAAAAAAAAACAAAAAAACAAAAAAGUGACAGCAAUAAUGAAAAUAGUAACUAUGGAGGUAUAUAUGUAAAUAUUUAUAAAAAUAAAUUUACAUCUUUUUCAAUGAGUUUAUAUUACAGUAUAAUAUAUAUACUUAAAGUUUUGGACAUACAACAAGAAGAUAUUGAUGUUUUUAAAAUUUUUAUAUACUAUGGCAUAGUUUUAAAAUUGCAUGAUGAUUUGUUAAAAUAUGAUAAUGAAAUAAAAAAAAACGAUUUGAUGUUUAAUAAUUUUGUUGAUGGUCGCUCAAAAGAUGAGAUAAAAAAUCUUGAACUUGGAAAAAAAUGGUCUGGAGGAAUAAUUCAAAAUAGUGAGAAAAAAAGUUACAACGAUAGUGUUGAUCAACAGAAUUUUAUUAACUAUAAUAAGAGUUAUAAUAAAAACAUGCCUGAUGAUUCGGUAUGUAACAGUAGUAAUAGUGUUGGUAGUAAUAUUACAAGUUGUGAUAAUAAAUAUAAUAGUAAUAUGAUUUAUGGUAGUAGUAAUGAACGGAGCAGAGAAAAUAAGAGUAAUGUAAUGCUUAAACGAAUUGAUAACGUUUUUUUUGUUUUUUUAGACAUGAGCGUAAGAAAGUUGUGUGUAUUAUUUCAUUUAUAUUUUAGCAAGAUG
RNAcentral lists this long non-coding RNA (2408 nucleotides) under Piliocolobus tephrosceles (Ugandan red Colobus). RNAcentral describes it as "lncRNA (ENSPTEG00000009953.1)". The record is from RNAcentral. Lineage: Eukaryota; Metazoa; Chordata; Mammalia; Primates; Cercopithecidae.